UCCUCCACUAUUUUCUGCCUGUUCCUC
This 27-nucleotide non-coding RNA is filed under the name Rattus norvegicus (Norway rat). Lineage: Eukaryota; Metazoa; Chordata; Mammalia; Rodentia; Muridae. The record is from RNAcentral.